RNAcentral lists this ribosomal RNA (1434 nucleotides) under Cardiocondyla nuda. RNAcentral describes it as "partial 28S ribosomal RNA". It matches the Rfam family "Eukaryotic large subunit ribosomal RNA", at positions 364 to 1413 of the family's 3401-position model. Lineage: Eukaryota; Metazoa; Arthropoda; Insecta; Hymenoptera; Formicidae. The record is from RNAcentral.
UUGAAAAGAACUUUGAAGAGAGAGUUCAAGAGUACGUGAAACCGUUCAGGGGUAAACCUAAGAAACCCAAAAGAUCGAACGGGGAGAUUCAUCGUCAGCGACGCUGGCUUCGCGUCGGUGGGCGAUGUCCCGCGGGGCCUCACGGCUCACGCGCGGGCACGCUGCCGCGCGCCGAUGUCCGGCGUUUUCGUCGUCGUGCACUUCUCCCCUAGUAGAACGUCGCGACCCGCUGGGUGUCGGUCUACGGCCCGGGUGCGGUGUCUGACGCGUCGCCGGUAACACGGCACGCCGUCAAACCCUCGGUCGCCCGGCCGGCUGCCCGGCGGUACACGCAAGGUAUCAGGCCGCAGCUCUCACUUACGCGAGAGUGCGUCGAGGCCGUCGCAAGCGCGCGCCACGGUACACGGAGGCUUACGGACCUAGCGCCGUCACCGGUCCUGGCCCGCUGUUGGUCGUACGGUUAACCUUCGACAGGCCUGCAAACGUUCCCCGGGGCAACUCGGGGGACCGAUACCGGUCGGCGACGCUACUGCUUUGGGUACUCUUAGGACCCGUCUUGAAACACGGACCAAGGAGUCUAACAUGUACGCGAGUCAUUGGGAUUAUCGAUACCUAAAGGCGUAAUGAAAGUGAAGGUCGACCCUGGUUGUCGACCGAGGGAGGAUGGGCCGCGUUGCGAUGCGGCUCCGCACUCCCGGGGCGUCUCGUUCUCAUUGCGAGAAGAGGCGCACCCAGAGCGUACACGUUGGGACCCGAAAGAUGGUGAACUAUGCCUGGUCAGGACGAAGUCAGGGGAAACCCUGAUGGAGGUCCGUAGCGAUUCUGACGUGCAAAUCGAUCGUCGGAACUGGGUAUAGGGGCGAAAGACUAAUCGAACCAUCUAGUAGCUGGUUCCCUCCGAAGUUUCCCUCAGGAUAGCUGGCACUCAGCCGUUCCGCACGGAACGCGCGCGAGUCUCAUCUGGUAAAGCGAAUGAUUAGAGGCCUUGGGGCCGAAACGACCUCAACCUAUUCUCAAACUUUAAAUGGGUGAGAUCUCUGGCUUUCUUGAACUAUGAAGCCACGAGCAUCUCGGAUCAGAGUGCCAAGUGGGCCAUUUUUGGUAAGCAGAACUGGCGCUGUGGGAUGAACCAAACGCAGAGUUAAGGCGCCCAACUCGACGCUCAUGGGACACCAUGAAAGGCGUUGGUUGCUUAAGACAGCAGGACGGUGGCCAUGGAAGUCGGAAUCCGCUAAGGAGUGUGUAACAACUCACCUGCCGAAGCAACUAGCCCUGAAAAUGGAUGGCGCUGAAGCGUCGAGCCUAUACUCUGCCGUCAGCGGCAAGUGGGGCGGCCUUGGGCUGGGUGGGCGUGGGUAACUUCGCCCGUGGCGUAAAGGCCGCCACGAAGCCCUGACGAGUAGGAGGGUCGCGACGGUGUGCGCAGAAGGGUCU